RNAcentral lists this ribosomal RNA (461 nucleotides) under uncultured bacterium. Its description in RNAcentral is "bacterial SSU rRNA". It matches the Rfam family "Bacterial small subunit ribosomal RNA", at positions 28 to 502 of the family's 1533-position model. The record is from RNAcentral.
GACGAACGCUGGCGGCGCGCCUAACACAUGCAAGUCGAACGGAGCUUAGAGAGCUUGCUUUUUAAGCUUAGUGGCGAACGGGUGAGUAACGCGUGAGUAACCUGCCCUAGAGUGGGGGACAACAGUUGGAAACGACUGCUAAUACCGCAUAAGCCCACGGUGCCGCAUGACACUGAGGGAAAAGGAUUUAUUCGCUUUAGGAUGGACUCGCGUCCAAUUAGCUAGUUGGUGAGGUAACGGCCCACCAAGGCGACGAUUGGUAGCCGGACUGAGAGGUUGAACGGCCACAUUGGGACUGAGACACGGCCCAGACUCCUACGGGAGGCAGCAGUGGGGGAUAUUGCACAAUGGGGGAAACCCUGAUGCAGCGACGCCGCGUGGAGGAAGAAGGUUUUCGGAUUGUAAACUCCUGUCGUUAGGGACGAUAAUGACGGUACCUAACAAGAAAGCACCGGCUAACU